RNAcentral lists this ribosomal RNA (404 nucleotides) under Bacillota bacterium. Its description in RNAcentral is "Firmicutes bacterium partial 16S ribosomal RNA". It matches the Rfam family "Bacterial small subunit ribosomal RNA", at positions 355 to 776 of the family's 1533-position model. The record is from RNAcentral. RNAcentral also lists the same sequence under 2 other names. Lineage: Bacteria; Bacillati; Bacillota.
UGGGGAAUAUUGGACAAUGGGCGCAAGCCUGAUCCAGCCAUGCCGCGUGAGUGAUGAAGGCCUUAGGGUUGUAAAGCUCUUUUGUCCGGGAAGAUAAUGACUGUACCGGAAGAAUAAGCCCCGGCUAACUUCGUGCCAGCAGCCGCGGUAAUACGAAGGGGGCUAGCGUUGCUCGGAAUCACUGGGCGUAAAGGGCGCGUAGGCGGACUCUUAAGUCGGGGGUGAAAGCCCAGGGCUCAACCCUGGAAUUGCCUUCGAUACUGAGAGUCUUGAGUUCGGAAGAGGUUGGUGGAACUGCGAGUGUAGAGGUGAAAUUCGUAGAUAUUCGCAAGAACACCGGUGGCGAAGGCGGCCAACUGGUCCGAUACUGACGCUGAGGCGCGAAAGCGUGGGGAGCAAACAGG